This is an RNA transcript of Ictalurus punctatus (channel catfish), 2954 nucleotides long. It is a transcript of the gene named zf-DHHC domain-containing protein, with no coding region annotated. NCBI's taxonomy places the organism in Eukaryota, Metazoa, Chordata, Actinopteri, Siluriformes, Ictaluridae. The transcript is spliced from 10 exons. The record is from RefSeq and is a predicted model, not a curated record.
UAUUUUUUUUAUUAUUAUUUAAGUAUUUUAAACCAUUUGAGUCCAGGUUUUUUCUCCUAAUUUUUCAGUUUUUUAAAAUUCCAUCAUGUGGAUUCAGCGGGUAAUUACUGCACAUGUCUGAUAAUUCUGUUGUAGAAAGAAUGAGCAGUUUUAAUAUUCUAGUACUCUGUAUUCUGAUGUACUGCCACCAAGGUGACUACACUGAUAAGAGGGUUAAUGUGUGAAGGUUAUUUAGGCUCUAAACGUUACACUUUGUGGCAUGUUUGAUUGAUUUAGAUCAGAUUAAUAGACAUAUCAACACUCGUUUAUUCCUGAAAAGUGUGGUAGCAAAAACUCAAACCACACAGCCAAGAGACACAGAGCCAUUCAGAGGCCAGAUUUCAGUUUACCAUUAACAUAAACCAGUGUGUGUAGUGUCUGACAUUAACCAAUCAAAUCUAAACAAUUUGAUUGUUUUCUUCUAUUAAUUUUUAUUAUUACUACUUUUAUGACUAACCUUAAUAAUGAUAAUAAUAAAUUUGAAACGCCGGUCAAUGAUUCGUUUAAGAAAUAUUACGUCACACUUAGCCGCGAUCGUGAUUGGACCAUCCGAGCGUAAUCCCGGAAGUUGAUAAGAUGUAAGAUGGCUCUGCUACGCUGUAGGCGAGACCCGUGCGGGUUUAUCUGUCUCAUUCUCACUUAUUUUAGUGUAUUUUACGCCGACUACGUUGUUAUCCAGUAUGUUCUGAUCCCAGCCUACUCUGGAAGUAUAUGGUGCACACUUCAUGGAUCUGUCUUUAAUGUCAUAUUACUGCUACUUCUGGUUUGUCAUUCAAAAGCUGUGUUCUCUGACCCAGGUAUGGUUCCUCUUCCUGAGACAGCCAUUGAUUUCUCAGACUUGAGGUCUCAGUCCAGUCGUGUGAAUGACCGGGGUUGUGAAGGCUGGACUGUGUGUAGUCGUUGUGAAACAUAUCGUCCUCCUCGUGCACAUCACUGUAGAGUGUGUCAGCGCUGCAUCAGACGCAUGGAUCACCACUGCCCGUGGAUCAAUAAUUGUGUUGGAGAGCUCAACCAGAAGUACUUCGUCCAAUUUCUCUUUUAUACUGGCAUGGCCAGCCUGUACUCCAUGGCUCUGGUGGUGUCAGCAUGGGUGUGGCGUAUACGAAGUGAAAGAGAUGGAGAAAACGGAGGAGAGGAUGUUCCCAGUAAGCAUCUAAUAGUGGCACAUUACAUCAUCUUGUUAGUGGAGUCCAUUCUUUUUGGCGUGUUUGUCCUGGUGAUAUUUUAUGACCAGCUGGUGUCCAUUAUAACAGAUGAGACCCCUAUUGAGCAGAUGAGAAACAGACUGAUGAAGGACAGACCCAACAGCGGGCAGUCAGUGCACACCACACACACCCGAAAACCGAAAUUGGCUUUGCUGAGGGAGGUGUUUGGAAGAGAUGACUCGCCUGACCCGAACCCCAAAGAGAAUCUACGAGAGACACCAGACCCAACAAUACAGACGAGCUGAAGACCGCUAUCAAAGCAACCUGGACUUCCAGAGCACCUCAGCAGUUCCACAGGCUGAUCGCCUUCAUGCCACGCCGCACUGAUGCAGUCAUUCAUGCAAAAGGAUUAAAGCCCCGACCAGGCUCUGUGCUGUGUUGGCUGUUACCAUUCCAGUCCUCUCCCCCGGCCACUGGAGGAAUCAGUUACUCACCUGUUCCUGAUUACGACGUGUAACGAUGUCCGACGUCAGCAUUACUUUAGUUUGGAUGAAGGAAGGAUGAGUGUGUUUAUAAGUGUAGCACUGUGUGUUAUGUAGUAACUCUUAAAAUCUGUGUACACACUCAGUGGUAUCAAGUGGCAAGAGCUAUUAAGUGAGAAAUGUCUCUUUCUUUCUUCCUUCCUCUCUCUCUCUCAUAGCUAUAUGAGGUGUCGUUAUUGGUCAUCAUGGCCUCAUAAUAGUUUAUUGUUGCAAAUAUAACAAACAUAGGAAUAGGGAUGCUCUAUUGCAUAAUAACAUACCAAAUUAUUCAUUUAUUAUAAAUAAUUAUGUAACUAAUCUUGGCAGGCUGUAAUUAUAUUAGCUAAUAUAAAAUCUGUUCCACGGUCGUAUCUGGUACGUAUAAGAGCAGGUUGGUUUAAUGCAUGAAAAAUCCAUCAAUUUCUUCAAAUUUACUUUUGCAAAUAAAUGCUAAACACUUUAACAUCAAAUGUUAUAAUAUACUUGAAUAUAGAUUCUGAGAAGGUUCCAGAAGUUCCUGAACAUGCUGUAUUGGUGUUGAAAUACAGUAGAAAUUGAAGCAGCAGUAUAUCUAACACCAACACUGUGUUAAUGAAAUCAGAGCCCGUCCUAAAGUGCGAUAAAGUCUUCAUUGUUUGGGGCUUUUAAUUAAACAAUGUUAACAAACCCACUAAACAUUGUCUUGCACUUAAAGUGAUCGUUUCUUUCUCACUUGAACAUUUGUUUUUUAUUUAUUUAUUUUUAUUGAGUGAUCGGUCAGUCACUUGGUUUAGGGUCUAUAGGUGUUGUAGAUUUUAAAUGUGUAUAUAAAUGUAUUUUGUAGAAUUCAAUGUGGGGAAAUGUUGGAGCAUUUUCAGGGUACUGGUUUCAGUUAUUCAAGUGCUUUUUUUUGUAGUAUCAUUUGUUAUACAUUUGUUUUGACAGAUUGAAGGACGUGUGCGUAUAUGUGGUGAAUGUAAUAUGUUUACACUGAUAUUUAUUGUACUUUAACUGUCUAAAUGCUGCUGAAUUAAACAAAAGGACAUCUUUUCAUAUUAUGGCAUUUUGGCUCUGCAUAAUCAAAUCAGCAGUAUGUAUUUUUUUGAUUAUUCAAAAAUGUGACUAAAUUUCAAGUCAAUUCUAUGAUUUCUUUAAAAAAAAUGUUUUUAUACAAUUGCUAAAAAGAUUUAUGCACUGCCAAGUUCACUUUUUCAAAACUACACAUUUUCAAAACAUUAAAAACUACUGGCAUUACAGUAGGUGAAUUAUU